This 397-nucleotide ribosomal RNA is filed under the name uncultured bacterium. RNAcentral's name for it is "bacterial SSU rRNA". It matches the Rfam family "Bacterial small subunit ribosomal RNA", at positions 29 to 408 of the family's 1533-position model. The record is from RNAcentral.
AACGAACGCUGGCGGUGUGCCUCAUACAUGCAAGUCGUACGCGAAUCCUGCCGCAAGGCAGGGUUUGAGUGGCAAACGGGUGCGUAACACGUAGGUAAUCUUCCUUUGAGUUGGGGAUAAGCCCUCGAAAGGGGGUCUAAUACCGAAUAACACUUCGGGCCGGCAUCGGCCUGAAAUUAAAGAUGGCCUCUGCUGCAAGCUAUCGCUCGGAGAUGAGCCUGCGGCCGAUUAGUUAGUUGGCGGGAUAAAAGCCCACCAAGACUUCGAUCGGUAGCCGGUCUGAGAGGAUGUCCGGCCACACUGGGACUGAGAUACGGCCCAGACUCCUACGGGAGGCAGCAGUAGGGAAUAUUGCGCAAUGGCCGCAAGGCUGACGCAGCAACACCGCGGUGGGGGA